AUGGCGUAAUGAUGGCCAGGCUGUCUCCACCCGAGACUCAGUGAAAUUGAACUCGCUGUGAAGAUGCAGUGUACCCGCGGCAAGACGGAAAGACCCCGUGAACCUUUACUAUAGCUUGACACUGAACAUUGAGCCUUGAUGUGUAGGAUAGGUGGGAGGCUUUGAAGUGUGGACGCCAGUCUGCAUGGAGCCGACCUUGAAAUACCACCCUUUAAUGUUUGAUGUUCUAACGUGGACCCGUGAUCCGGGUUGCGGACAGUGUCUGGUGGGUAGUUUGACUGGGGCGGUCUCCUCCUAAAGAGUAACGGAGGAGCACGAAGGUUGGCUAAUCCUGGUCGGACAUCAGGAGGUUAGUGCAAUGGCAUAAGCCAGCUUGACUGCGAGCGUGACGGCGCGAGCAGGUGCGAAAGCAGGUCAUAGUGAUCCGGUGGUUCUGAAUGGAAGGGCCAUCGCUCAACGGAUAAAAGGUACUCCGGGGAUAACAGGCUGAUACCGCCCAAGAGUUCAUAUCGACGGCGGUGUUUGGCACCUCGAUGUCGGCUCAUCACAUCCUGGGGCUGAAGUAGGUCCCAAGGGUAUGGCUGUUCGCCAUUUAAAGUGGUACGCGAGCUGGGUUUAGAACGUCGUGAGACAGUUCGGUCCCUAUCUGCCGUGGGCGCUGGAGAACUGAGGGGGGCUGCUCCUAGUACGAGAGGACCGGAGUGGACGCAUCACUGGUGUUCGGGUUGUCAUGCCAAUGGCACUGCCCGGUAGCUAAAUGCGGAAGAGAUAAGUGCUGAAAGCAUCUAAGCACGAAACUUGCCCCGA
Molecule: ribosomal RNA, 807 nt
Filed under: Salmonella enterica
Lineage: Bacteria; Pseudomonadati; Pseudomonadota; Gammaproteobacteria; Enterobacterales; Enterobacteriaceae
Description: partial 23S ribosomal RNA
Rfam family: Bacterial large subunit ribosomal RNA
Source: RNAcentral